AAUGAACGCUGGCGGCAUGCCUAACACAUGCAAGUCGAACGAGACCUUCGGGUCGUAGUGGCGCACGGGUGCGUAACGCGUGGGAAUCUGCCCUUAGGUCCGGAAUAACUCAGGGAAACUUGAGCUAAUACCGGAUGAUGACGUAAGUCCAAAGAUUUAUCGCCUAAGGAUGAGCCCGCGUAGGAUUAGCUUGUUGGUGAGGUAAAAGCUCACCAAGGCGACGAUCCUAGCUGGUCUGAGAGGAUGAUCAGCCACACUGGGACUGAGACACGGCCCAGACUCCUACGGGAGGCAGCAGUGGGGAAUAUUGGACAAUGGGCGAAAGCCUGAUCCAGCAAUGCCGCGUGAGUGAUGAAGGCCUUAGGGUUGUAAAGCUCUUUUACCCGGGAAGAUAAUGACUGUACCGGGAGAAU
RNAcentral lists this ribosomal RNA (413 nucleotides) under uncultured bacterium. Its description in RNAcentral is "bacterial SSU rRNA". It matches the Rfam family "Bacterial small subunit ribosomal RNA", at positions 29 to 487 of the family's 1533-position model. The record is from RNAcentral.